AAUAAAUUGUAUACGGUAUAUCAAACAAUCACAUAUUAUAGCAUUGCAUAUGUUAUAAUAACAAAAUUAUAUAGAACAAGAUCCGAAUUAUUGAGUAAAGUUACAGAAAAACUGACAAAUUUGGAGAUUGAGACUUGUAUUUCCUUGUUAUUUCACAAAGUUCUGUGUGUAAAAUUAUCUUUUAUGUAUGGUGUAUCGGAACCAUUAUCUUGGUUCCUCAAUAAGACUCCAGCAUGAUUAGUGUGGGGCAACAUCUUCUAUUGCCCUCCGUUCAGGACUUGUAACUUGUUGCCUAAAUUGAUAGUUGAUCCAUAAUAUAUAGUAGCACAAACAUUUUCUUUUGAAAAGAAAAAAAAAGGAGGAACAUUGUCGAGCAGGAGAAAUUGUUACAAAUGAGAUGCUUAGGCUGUUGAUAGAGGUGUUCGACUCAUCCUCAACAUGGGCUGUUGUUUGUGGUCCGAAUUUGAUUUGUUUAUAAUAGUUGUGUUGGAAUAAUUGGGGUCUAAUUGCUAUAUUAAAUUACAUAAAAAUUUAAGAAAUAAUUCAUGCAAUUAUAUAUUAAAAUUAAUGCAUGCACAUGAGUAACCAAUGCUAAAUGAACAUGACAUAUUUGAUUAGAAAAACCUAGGAAAUACGGUCGAGGCAAGUGUUAGAUACUUUGUCCUUAAGACAAGUUUACGCCCCACUACGGUGCUCAUGAUUGAUCGGUACAUGUCUCCCAAGAUACAACGACCACGUUCUUGUAAUAGUAGCACUCAAAAUCACAAGGCUCCAUGAACCACAAUUGUGU
RNAcentral lists this long non-coding RNA (790 nucleotides) under Malus domestica (apple). Its description in RNAcentral is "long non-coding RNA (MDOM_LNC008201)". Lineage: Eukaryota; Viridiplantae; Streptophyta; Magnoliopsida; Rosales; Rosaceae. The record is from RNAcentral.